Molecule: non-coding RNA, 91 nt
Filed under: human gut metagenome
Also listed under: 1 other name
Description: THF riboswitch
Rfam family: THF (Tetrahydrofolate) riboswitch aptamer
About the family: THF riboswitch presents a pseudoknot that joins P1-P2 and the loop of P3 and two THF binding.
Source: RNAcentral
AGUAGGAAUCUGCGCGUCAAGUGCCGUUGAGACGGGGGGUGCUCGCGGACGAAAAGUCGGACGACUUGCGGUGCUUAUUCCACUCCCGGCU